RNAcentral lists this ribosomal RNA (497 nucleotides) under uncultured bacterium. RNAcentral's name for it is "partial 16S ribosomal RNA". It matches the Rfam family "Bacterial small subunit ribosomal RNA", at positions 28 to 507 of the family's 1533-position model. The record is from RNAcentral.
GACGAACGCUGGCGGCGUGCCUAAUACAUGCAAGUAGAACGCUGAAGAGAGGAGCUUACUCUUCUUGGAUGAGUUGCGGACGGGUGAGUAACGCGUAGGUAACCUGCCUUGUAGCGGGGGAUAACUAUUGGAAACGAUAGCUAAUACCGCAUAACAAUGGAUGACACAUGUUAUUUAUUUGAAAGGGGCAAUUGCUCCACUACAAGAUGGACCUGCGUUGUAUUAGCUAGUAGGUGAGGUAAUGGCUCACCUAGGCGACGAUACAUAGCCGACCUGAGAGGGUGAUCGGCCACACUGGGACUGAGACACGGCCCAGACUCCUACGGGAGGCAGCAGUAGGGAAUCUUCGGCAAUGGGGGCAACCCUGACCGAGCAACGCCGCGUGAGUGAAGAAGGUUUUCGGAUCGUAAAGCUCUGUUGUAAGUCAAGAACGGGUGUGAGAGUGGAAAGUUCACACUGUGACGGUAGCUUACCAGAAAGGGACGGCUAACUACGUG